RNAcentral lists this ribosomal RNA (497 nucleotides) under uncultured bacterium. RNAcentral's name for it is "partial 16S ribosomal RNA". It matches the Rfam family "Bacterial small subunit ribosomal RNA", at positions 28 to 507 of the family's 1533-position model. The record is from RNAcentral.
GAUGAACGCUGGCGGCGUGCCUAAUACAUGCAAGUCGAGCGAACAGACGAGGAGCUUGCUCCCCUGACGUUAGCGGCGGACGGGUGAGUAACACGUGGAUAACCUACCUAUAAGACUGGGAUAACUUCGGGAAACCGGAGCUAAUACCGGAUAAUAUAUUGAACCGCAUGGUUCAAUAGUGAAAGACGGUUUUGCUGUCACUUAUAGAUGGAUCCGCGCCGCAUUAGCUAGUUGGUAAGGUAACGGCUUACCAAGGCAACGAUGCGUAGCCGACCUGAGAGGGUGAUCGGCCACACUGGAACUGAGACACGGUCCAGACUCCUACGGGAGGCAGCAGUAGGGAAUCUUCCGCAAUGGGCGAAAGCCUGACGGAGCAACGCCGCGUGAGUGAUGAAGGUCUUCGGAUCGUAAAACCCUGUUAUUAGGGAAGAACAAAUGUGUAAGUAACUAUGCACGUCUUGACGGUACCUAAUCAGAAAGCCACGGCUAACUACGUG